UAAGGAGCUUGAGAAUGACGAACGAAUGUGGUGAUUCAUCAGACUGAGAAGUCUACCAAGAUCGGGUCAUCUAUCAAAGAGUUGAAAUAGCUGUAACGAUAGGCGUAUUGGGCGCGGCAGGCAGGAAGCCAACCGUCUUAUGGUCUUUUGAGCCUAGGUGGUUAGCACUGUAUUCCUGGCCGGUGCCUGAUCAUUACAGCAGCUACCAUUCAUCUGAUUUCGAUGAUGCCAGAUUAUAUGAUCGAACGCAUGACGAUUGCAGAGCCCCAGGAGAUCAUCAUGUGGACAUAAGUGGAAUUAAGUAGCUG
This 308-nucleotide small RNA is filed under the name Histoplasma ohiense. Its description in RNAcentral is "hypothetical lncRNA". The record is from RNAcentral. Lineage: Eukaryota; Fungi; Ascomycota; Eurotiomycetes; Onygenales; Ajellomycetaceae.